This 112-nucleotide ribosomal RNA is filed under the name Chitinophagales bacterium. Lineage: Bacteria; Pseudomonadati; Bacteroidota; Chitinophagia; Chitinophagales. The record is from RNAcentral.
UAUGGCGACUAUGCAGUGCGUGUUCACCCCUUCCCAUUCCGAACAGGGUCGUUAAGCCGCACAUGGCCUAUGGUACUGUACAACAAUACGGGAGAGUGGGUUGUCGCCAACU